UUCUUCAUUUAGCAAAGAGGAAAAUCGAGAGAGAGAGAGAGAGAGAGAGGGAGUAGAAAACAGGUUUCCUUCCUCUAAAACCCUAAAUCGUCGGCCCUUUUUCUCCCUCUACCUCUGACUAUCACUAACUCCAACCAAAAAACUAACAUCAUUUCCUUGUUAUUCGUUGCACAGUCGUCAUAAUGAACCAAUUGGAUUUCCCAUUUGAAGAACCUUGUCUUCGACCACCGUUCUCCAUUUUCGUGCUCAUCAUCACACGACCUUCAAUUUAAACCAAAUGGAUUCUCGUUUCGAGAAACCUCGUCGUGACCACUCUCUUCCAUCGAGAACCACCGCAAGCCACUGCGUCAGUUUUCCUCUGGUCAUUGUUUGUUCACCUUUUCUUGUACCACCAUUUACAUCAUGUUGGUCACAAGACAUAAAGCAUGGGUGAAGAAGAGUAUGUUGACAUAGUUGUGGGAUCAUAAGGCAUGUGAGUUCGUCAUUAUGUUUGGUUCAAGUGCGGCAUCGAGAGCUAAUGAUUAUCCAAGGAACGCAUGGAUUCUAGUACGAGAAACAAGAUACAACUGGGAGGAAAAGUAGAUGCGUGGAUCGUAUAAUCUUUAUGGACCUUUGGUGAGUGUCAGUACAUGCAUCAUAAGUGCAAGUAUUAUCAAAAUCAGACAGUGAUGAAAAAUCAGUUAAAAAUAACUCAUAAUAUGUUUGAUCAACUAAAUAAUAAAGCAAUUCAAUUUGAAAAACUAAAUUCUCUUCCAUGGCAUGUUUCAUGGCAUAAAAAAUGUUAAAUUUUGUAGUAAUAUCACCAAAUUACAUGGACAUUGUUCCACCAUCGACGUCAAUUUUUGUUUUUGCAGGUUUUAAGAACGAUCUGUUUAAAAUGAUGGGUGCCCUACUUGCAUUUGAAUUAGUUUCUCCUUCCAUAUAUAGAAUUUAAAAAUAUAUAGGAAAAAUCAAACCAUUAACUUGAAUAAGUACAUCUUCCACUACUUUGACAUGGCGGACAUUGCUUUUGUUUUCCAGCUGGAUGGUCAAACAUGUAUUAUGUAAAGGACUAAGAUCAAGAUUGUUAAAAAUAUAAGUAUGCAUAACAUUAAUGGAAACUCCUAAAUCUAACAUGCAAUUUUUGAAUUUAAUAUCCCCAAUGGUACACGAAAUAGAUAAAGUUUCUAGAUCAUUGCACUUUUGGAGCAUGGUUUGAGUGAGAACUGAAAUAUUUUUCCAUGCUUUAACUCUUUCAAGUACAAGCAUAAGUUCAAUAAAGACUUAAACAUUUUGUCUCA
This is a long non-coding RNA of Lathyrus oleraceus (garden pea), 1280 nucleotides long. RefSeq lists it as uncharacterized. The record is from RefSeq and is a predicted model, not a curated record. Lineage: Eukaryota; Viridiplantae; Streptophyta; Magnoliopsida; Fabales; Fabaceae. The transcript has 2 exons.